AGUGGAUGGGGAGCAACCUAGUUGUGCGUGUGUAAAGGUAGUGCCAAGAAAAGCGAUGAUCAUGUUGAAAAUCAAUUCCCGGUACCCGAAACCGACACAGGUGGGCAAGUAGAGAAUACUAAGGGGCGCGAGGUAACUCUCUCCAAGGAACUCGGCAAAAUGACCCCGUAACUUAGGGAGAAGGGGUGCCACCGAGAGGUGGUCGCAGUGAAGAGGCCCAGGCGACUGUUUAGCAAAAACAUAGGUCUCUGCAAACUCGAAAGAGGAGGUAUAGGGGCUGACGCCUGCCCAGUGCCGGAAGGUUAAAGAAGUUGGUCAGUUUUAGGAUGAAGCUAGCGACUGAAGCCCCGGUGAACGGCGGCCGUAACUAUAACGGUCCUAAGGUAGCGAAAUUCCUUGUCGGGUAAGUUCCGACCCGCACGAAAGGCGUAACGAUCUGGGCACUGUCUCGGAGAGAGGCUCGGCGAAAUAGGAUUGUCUGUGAAGAUACGGACUACCUGCAUUUGGACAGAAAGACCCUAUGAAGCUUUACUAUAGCUUGGAAUUGUGUUCGGGCUUCCUGUGCGCAGGAUAGGUGGGAGGCGUAGAAGGUAUUCUUGUGGGGAUACUGGAGCCAACGGUGAGAUACCACUCUCAGGAGGCUAGAAUUCUAACUUAAUUAAGGACAGUUUCAGGUGGGUAGUUUGACUGGGGCGGUCGCCUCCAAAAAGGUAACGGAGGCGUACAAAGGUUCCCUCAGACUGGUUGGAAAUCAGUCGAAGAGUGCAAAGGCAGAAGGGAGCUUGACUGCGAGAAGUACAGUUCGAGCAGGGUGGAAACACGGUCUUAGUGAUCCGACGGUGGUGUGUGGAAGGGCCGUCGCUCAACGGAUAAAAGUUACUCUAGGAUAACAGGCUGAUCUCCCCCAAGAGUUCACAUCGACGGGGAGGUUUGGCACCUCGAUGUCGGCUCAUCGCAACCUGGGGCGGAAGUACGUCCCAAGGGUUGGGCUGUUCGCCCAUUAAAGCGGUACGUGAGCUGGGUUCAGAACGUCGUGAGACAGUUCGGUCCAUAUCCGAUGUAGGCGUGAGAAUAUUGAGAGGAGCCUUCCUUAGUACGAGAGGACCGGGAAGGACGCACCGCUGGUGUACCUGUUAUGAUGCCAAUUGUAAACGCAGGGUAGCCAAGUGCGGAGAGGAUAACCGCUGAAAGCAUCUAAGUGGGAAGCCCACCUCAAGAUGAGUAUUCUGGUGUAAGGUCACGGGAAGACGACCCGUAAAUAGGCACGAGGUGGAAGCGCAGAGAUGUAUGAAGCCGAAGUGUACUAAUAGACCGUCGGCUUGAC
RNAcentral lists this ribosomal RNA (1324 nucleotides) under metagenome. RNAcentral's name for it is "bacterial LSU rRNA". It matches the Rfam family "Bacterial large subunit ribosomal RNA", at positions 1561 to 2925 of the family's 2925-position model. The record is from RNAcentral.